This 421-nucleotide ribosomal RNA is filed under the name uncultured bacterium. RNAcentral describes it as "bacterial SSU rRNA". It matches the Rfam family "Bacterial small subunit ribosomal RNA", at positions 496 to 917 of the family's 1533-position model. The record is from RNAcentral.
ACGCUCGACAGUGCCAGCCGCCGCGGUAAUACGUAGGGUGCAAGCGUUAAUCGGAAUUACUGGGCGUAAAGCGUGCGCAGGCGGUUAUGCAAGACAGAUGUGAAAUCCCCGGGCUCAACCUGGGAACUGCAUUUGUGACUGCAUAGCUAGAGUACGGUAGAGGGGGAUGGAAUUCCGCGUGUAGCAGUGAAAUGCGUAGAUAUGCGGAGGAACAUCGAUGGCGAAGGCAAUCCCCUGGACCUGUACUGACGCUCAUGCACGAAAGCGUGGGGAGCAAACAGGAUUAGAUACCCUGGUAGUCCACGCCCUAAACGAUGUCAACUGGUUGUUGGGAGGGUUUCUUCUCAGUAACGUAGCUAACGCGUGAAGUUGACCGCCUGGGGAUACGGCCGCAAGGUUGAAACUUAAAUGAAUUGGCGGG